GACGAACGCUGGCGGCGUGCCUAAUACAUGCAAGUCGAACGCAGUGGGGACGGGUGAGUAACACGUGGGUAACCUCCCAUCAGAGGGGAUAACACUUGGAAACAGGUGCUAAACCGCUACUGAUGGAUGGACCCGGGGUGCAUUAGCUAGUUGGUGAGGUAACGGCUCACCAAGGCUACGAGGCAUAGCCGGCCUGAGAGGAGGAUCGGCCACACUGGAACUGAGACACGGCCCAGACUCCUACGGGAGGCAGCAGUAGGGAAUCUUGGGCAAUGGGCGCAAGUCUGACCGAGCAACGCCGCGUGUGUGAAGAAGGUCUUCGGAUUGUAAAACACUGUUGUUGGGGAGGCGGUAUCUAACGAGAAAGCCACGGCUAACUACGUGCCAGCAGCCGCGGUAAUAC
This 403-nucleotide ribosomal RNA is filed under the name uncultured bacterium. RNAcentral's name for it is "partial 16S ribosomal RNA". It matches the Rfam family "Bacterial small subunit ribosomal RNA", at positions 28 to 526 of the family's 1533-position model. The record is from RNAcentral.